AAACGUAGGUGGCGAGCGUUGUUCGGAAUUAUUGGGCGUAAAGCGCGUGUAGGCGGUUUGUUAAGUCUGAUGUGAAAGCCCCGGGCUCAACCUGGGAAGUGCAUUGGAUACUGGCAGACUUGAAUACGGGAGAGGGCAGCGGAAUUCCUGGUGUAGGAGUGAAAUCCGUAGAUAUCAGGAGGAACACCGGUGGCGAAGGCGGCCCCCUGGACAAAGACUGACGCUCAGGUGCGAAAGCGUGGGGAGC
RNAcentral lists this ribosomal RNA (247 nucleotides) under uncultured bacterium. RNAcentral's name for it is "partial 16S ribosomal RNA". It matches the Rfam family "Bacterial small subunit ribosomal RNA", at positions 523 to 769 of the family's 1533-position model. The record is from RNAcentral.